UGCGUAGGCGGAUUAAUAAGUCAGUGGUGAAAUCUCUCGGCUCAACCUGGAAACUGCCAUUGAUACUGUUAAUCUUGAGUUCGGUUGAGGUAGGCGGAAUGUGUAAUGUAGCGGUGAAAUGCUUAGAUAUUACACAGAACACCAAUUGCGUAGGCAGCUUACUAGACCGACACUGACGCUGAGGCACGAAAGCGUGGGUAGCGAACAGGAUUAGAUACCCUGGUAGUCC
Molecule: ribosomal RNA, 229 nt
Filed under: uncultured bacterium
Lineage: Bacteria
Description: partial 16S ribosomal RNA
Rfam family: Bacterial small subunit ribosomal RNA
Source: RNAcentral